GAAAACUAAUAGCAACCAAAAUUGCAGUAUCCAUUUACUAGUGUCAAAAUAGUUUACUGGACUCCCAAAAUUGUAGUAUCCAUUUACAAGUGUUAAAAUGGUUGGUUGACUGGACUCCACAAUUUGAGAGAUAUAGCAAAAAAAUAAUAAAAUACAGCAAGAAGAUUACACUUGUUUCUCCCAACAAUUUACAGAGAAAAGGGAAUUACACUAGUUUCUCACAGCAAUUACAUAUUGAACAAACUUCAAAACGUUUUUCACAAGUUUCACAAUUUACAGAGAAUAGGGAAUUUGUUUGAUUCUCACAACAGUUGCAUACUGAACAAGCUUCAAAUCGUUCUUCAAAACCUUUUUCACCAUUUUUCACAAUUUUCUAAACUUCCUUUUNNN
This 390-nucleotide long non-coding RNA is filed under the name Olea europaea (common olive). Its description in RNAcentral is "long non-coding RNA (OEUR_LNC014579)". Lineage: Eukaryota; Viridiplantae; Streptophyta; Magnoliopsida; Lamiales; Oleaceae. The record is from RNAcentral.